CAGCCGCCGCGGGAAUACGGAGGAUCCAAGCGUUAUCCGGAAUUAUUGGGUUUAAAGGGUGCGUAGGCGGAUAGAUAAGUCAGUGGUGAAAGACGGUGGCUCAACCAUCGCAGUGCCGUUGAUACUGUUUAUCUUGAAUAUGGAUGAGGUAGGCGGAAUGUGGCAAGUAGCGGUGAAAUGCAUAGAUAUGCCACAGAACACCGAUUGCGAAGGCAGCUUACCAAGGCAAAAUUGACGCUGAGGCACGAAAGCGUGGGGAUCGAACAGGAUUAGAUACCCGAGUAGUCCCUGUCUCUUAUAC
This 301-nucleotide ribosomal RNA is filed under the name uncultured bacterium. RNAcentral describes it as "partial 16S ribosomal RNA". It matches the Rfam family "Bacterial small subunit ribosomal RNA", at positions 509 to 807 of the family's 1533-position model. The record is from RNAcentral.